This 460-nucleotide ribosomal RNA is filed under the name uncultured bacterium. RNAcentral's name for it is "partial 16S ribosomal RNA". It matches the Rfam family "Bacterial small subunit ribosomal RNA", at positions 338 to 795 of the family's 1533-position model. The record is from RNAcentral.
CCUACGGGUGGCUGCAGUGAGGAAUAUUGGUCAAUGGGCGCGAGUCUGAACCAGCCAAGUCGCGUGAGGGAAGACGGCCCUAUGGAUUGUAAACCUCUUUUGUCGGGGAGCAAAAGACGCUACGCGUGGCGUUUCGUGAGUACCCGAUGAAAAAGCAUCGGCUAACUCCGUGCCAGCAGCCGCGGUAAUACGGAGGAUGCGAGCGUUAUCCGGAUUUAUUGGGUUUAAAGGGAGCGUAGGCGGUUCAGCAAGUCAGAAGUGAAAGCUCGGGGCUCAACUCCGAGACUGCAUUUGAAACUGGUGAACUAGAUUGCAGGAGAGGUAAGUGGAAUUCCUGGUGUAGCGGUGAAAUGCUUAGAUAUUAGGAGGAACAUCGAUGGCGAAAGCGCUUUACUGGACCAUUAUUGACACUGAUGAACGAAAGCCAGGGGAGCAAAUGGGAUUAGAUACCCUAGUAGUC